This is a long non-coding RNA of Helianthus annuus (common sunflower), 800 nucleotides long. RefSeq lists it as uncharacterized. The transcript has 2 exons. NCBI's taxonomy places the organism in Eukaryota, Viridiplantae, Streptophyta, Magnoliopsida, Asterales, Asteraceae. The record is from RefSeq and is a predicted model, not a curated record.
GUUUUUUUUGGGUAAUUCUCUGGUUUCAUGGAAGAGUAAGAAGCAGUCUACUAUAUCACGGUCCUCUGCUGAAGCAAAAUAUCGUUCUAUGUGUGCUGCAACAUGUGAAGUAAUUUGGCUUCUUAAUGUUUUAAAGGAAUUAAAGGUUGACAUUAAUCUCCCUAUUAUUCUUCAUUGUGAUAACACAGCAGCUAUGUCUAUAGCUGCUAAUCCCGUUUUCCACGAACGAACAAAACACUUUGAAAUUGAUCUCUUCUUUUUAAGAGAAAAAAUUUCUAAAGGUAUUAUCCGAACUGUGGGAGUUUCUUCCAAGGAUCAGACGGCUGACGUGUUCACCAAAGGUUUGGGCCGUUUAUAAUGUUCUUUGUGGCUGAUGGGCUUCUCUGGAUGGGCUGGUUAGCGUACACAAGAAGCUGUCCAAGCUGUCGUUUGACUGGCGUAUCAAUUAGCCGUCAUGAUCCCUUCCAUUUGUGUGUCAUUCAGAUCCCCAUAAAAAGGCAUCGAAGAUUGGCAGCUUCUAUGAUCAGUUCUCAAGAACAAUUGAACUCUUCUACAAAGUCUACUAAAAAACUCUGAAGUCAGAGACUUUUGGCUGUCAUCUUUCUCUUGCUAGAACAUAUUGUGUUCGGUUCCUUGUUCGAGAGCAUAUUGCAGUCCUUUUGUUCGUGACAGCCGCCGAUCUCUAAUUCAAGAUCUGUUGUGGCUGUGUAGAGAUCGAUAUUGUGCAGUUUCAUUUUCUUUGCUGUAUCUUGACACUGUCCACUGUUGUUCAGUGAUUAUAUAAUUUACUGUUCUUGAUA